CUGUAUGUUAAACGAGAAGACUUUAGAUAUGAUCCAGAGUACCACGGGACACGUGAAACCCUGUGGGAAGCAGGAGGGACCACCCUCCAAGGCUAAAUACUACCUAGUGACCGAUAGCGUAUAGUACCGUGAGGGAAAGGUGAAAAGAACCCCGGGAGGGGAGUGAAAUAGAACCUGAAACCCUGCACUUACAAGCUGUGGAAGCACAUUUCUUGUGUGACCGCGUACUUUUUGUAGAACGGGCCAACGAGUUACGUUAAGUAGCAAGGUUAAGCACUUAAGGUGCGGAGCCGUAGCGAAAGCGAGUUUUAACUGAGCGUUCAGUUACUUGACGUAGACCCGAAACCGGGCGACCUACCCAUGAGCAGGAUGAAGCGAAAGUAAAAUUUCGUGGAGGUCCGAACCCACGAGCGUUGAAAAGCUCGGGGAUGACUUGUGGGUAGCGGUGAAAUUCCAAUCGAGCCCGGAGAUAGCUGGUUCUCCCCGAAAUAGCUUUAGGGCUAGCCUCAAGGUGAGAGAUACGGAGGUAGAGCACUGAAUGUCCUAGGGGGUAUUGCACCUACCGAAGACUAUCAAACUCCGAAUGCCGUCAUCUUAUACUUGGGAGUCAGACUGUGGGUGAUAAGAUUCAUAGUCGAAAGGGCAACAGCCCAGAUCGUCAGCUAAGGUCCCUAAAUGUAAGUUAAGUGGUAAAGGAUGUGGGAUUGCACAGACAACCAGGAUGUUGGCUUAGAAGCAGCCACUCAUUCAAAGAGUGCGUAAUAGCUCACUGGUCGAGUGAUCCUGCGCCGAAGAUUUCCGGGGCUAAAACUUACUACCGAAGCUACGGCAUCAGUAAUGAUGGGUAGGGGAGCUUCCCAUACGGGUUGAAGCAUGACCGUAAGGACAUGUGGACAGUAUGGGAGUGAGAAUGUUGGCAUGAGUAGCGAGAUGUGGGUGAGAAUCCCACAGGCCGUAAACCCAAGGUUUCCAGGGGAAGGUUCGUCCGCCCUGGGUUAGUCGGGACCUAAGCUGAGGCCGAAAGGCGUAGGUGAUGGACAACAGGUUGAUAUUCCUGUACUACCGAUAACCGUUUGAGAGAAGGGAUGACACAGUAGGAUAAGCUAAGCACACUGUUGGUUAUGUGUGCCCAAGCAUUGAGGCAGUCAAAGUAGGCAAAUCCGCUUUGAUAAUGCUAGGAUGUGAUGGGGAGCGAAAUUUAGUAGCGAAGUAGCUGAUUUCACACUGUCAAGAAAAGUCUCUAUCGAGGUUAAAGGUACCCGUACCGCAAACCGACACAGGUGGGUGAGGAGAGUAUCCUAAGGCCAGCGAGAGAACUGUUGUUAAGGAACUCGGCAAAAUGACCCCGUAACUUAGGGAUAAGGGGUGCCACCAUCAGGUGGCCGCAGAGAAUAGGCCCAAGCGACUGUUUACCAAAAACAUAGGUUUCUGCUAAGUCGCAAGACGAUGUAUAGGAGCUGACGCCUGCCCGGUGCUGGAAGGUUAAGGGGAUCUGUUAGAGCAAUCGAAGCAGUGAACUUAAGCCCCAGUAAACGGCGGCCGUAACUAUAACGGUCCUAAGGUAGCGAAAUUCCUUGUCGGGUAAGUUCCGACCCGCACGAAAGGCGUAACGAUUUGGGCACUGUCUCAACAACAGACUCGGUGAAAUUGUAAUUCCGGUGAAGAUGCCGGAUACCUGCGACAGGACGGAAAGACCCCAUGGAGCUUUACUGUAGCUUGACAUUGGGUCUUGGUACUACAUGUACAGGAUAGGUGGGAGGCUUUGAAACCAGGACGCCAGUUUUGGCGGAGCCAUCCUUGGGA
This 1803-nucleotide ribosomal RNA is filed under the name Clostridioides difficile. RNAcentral describes it as "partial 23S ribosomal RNA". It matches the Rfam family "Bacterial large subunit ribosomal RNA", at positions 373 to 2197 of the family's 2925-position model. Lineage: Bacteria; Bacillati; Bacillota; Clostridia; Peptostreptococcales; Peptostreptococcaceae. The record is from RNAcentral.